Molecule: ribosomal RNA, 616 nt
Filed under: uncultured bacterium
Lineage: Bacteria
Description: bacterial SSU rRNA
Rfam family: Bacterial small subunit ribosomal RNA
Source: RNAcentral
AUUGAACGCUGGCGGCGUGCCUAACACAUGCAAGUCGAACGCGAAAGUUUCUUCGGAAAUGAGUAGAGUGGCGCACGGGUGAGUAACGCGUGGAUAAUCUACCUACUGGUACGGGACAACAAUUGGAAACGACUGCUAAUACCGUAUACGCUGGUAACGGGAAAGGGGGCCUCUUCUUGAAAGCUCUCGCCAGUAGAUGAGUCCGCGUUUCAUUAGCUAGACGGUGGGGUAACGGCCUACCGUGGCAACGAUGAAUAGCAGGCCUGAGAGGGUGGCCUGCCACACUGGGACUGGAACACGGCCCAGACUCCUACGGGAGGCAGCAGUGGGGAAUAUUGCGCAAUGGACGAAAGUCUGACGCAGCGACGCCGCGUGGAGGAUGAAGGUUUUCGGAUCGUAAACUCCUGUCAAGAGGGAAGAAACCUAUUAUGAAUAAUACUCAUAGUAAUUGACGGUACCUCUAGAGGAAGCACCGGCUAAUUCAGUGCCAGCAGCCGCGGUAAUACUGAAGGUGCAAGCGUUAAUCGGAAUCACUGGGCGUAAAGCGCUCGUAGGUGGCUUUGUAAGUCAGGUGUGAAAGCCCACGGCUCAACCGUGGAAUUGCACUUGAUACUGC